GUGUUCAGUUCAGCAGCACAUAUACUAAAAUUGGAACCAUACCCAUACAGAGAUUGGCAUGACCCCUGCUCAAAGAUAACAUCAAAAUUCAUGAAGUGUUCCAUAUAAAG
Otolemur garnettii (small-eared galago) is the source of this 110-nucleotide small nuclear RNA. The record is from Ensembl. NCBI's taxonomy places the organism in Eukaryota, Metazoa, Chordata, Mammalia, Primates, Galagidae.